CUUUUUAAAUUAUUUCUUUAUUUAUAUAUAUUUAUUUAUUCAUCUCAGUUUGGUUGAUAUUCUUUUUAAUCGUUGUUGCACUUUAGUAUUUUUGUACUCAACAGAAAUGAACAUAAAAACAACAACAAAAAAGAGACAAAAAAUAAAAAUGAACCAAUAGAAAACAAAAUAAACCUAAGAAACAGGAGUGGAGCAGAGAGCUGGCUUGCUGGGAUGGAGAGAAAAGACAGAAGUCAGGGAUAGAAGAGUUAAGACAGAAAAAAUAGGGAGGGAAAGGGGGUCAAUCUGAUCAGGCAGAAGAUGUGUGUGAAGCAGCUCUAUUACUUCUGAAUCAUGUGCAGUGCUUUCCAUUCCCUUCAGCCGUCCCUUCUUGUGUCGAUCUGCUCCCCCCUCCACACACAUAUAUCUGAAAUAACUGUGGCACUGGUCACAUUACAGUAGACAAGGUGGAGCCUUGUACUGCUGUGGGACAACAGGCUUACAAUGUCUUCCAUUCCAAUCAUUUCCCUCCAUUAUACCUGACAAGUCCUCAAUCCUUUCUCUUUCAGUUCUUGGUUUUGGCUUGAGGAAAAACAACAACAGGGAGACAGAUCUGAAAGAGGAAUGAAUGAGAACCAGAGGGAGAACUGAGUUAGAAUGGAAGAGAUGGAGCAGAGAACACAUCAGAUCAAAGCCCACUGUCACUAUUUACCCCGAUACAAACUCUUGUUUGAGAGAUUCCAAUUUACUGCAAAAAACAAAAAAACUCACCACAAUGAGUCUGAACGAGAGUGAAUGUUGGUAAACAGGAUGUGACAUGCUGCAAAUGGAAAGCACAAGUGCUGCAUGACACCAUCUGCAGCUCUCAGGUGUAUAUAGCAUACAGUAUGUCGACCGUGCAUCCAGGUAUUGUGGUAUCUGACCUUUAUAAACACAUACAAGUGGAGCUUUAUUCUUUGCACCAUAGUCUUUAGCUGGCCCAUUAUUGAUUCAAUAUCCAGGAGUAUUGUAUAUGGGAGGAUAGAUAGAGGUUGAACAAUAAAGUAAAUUUAAAAAAAAAAAAAAAAAACUGGAAGAAAAAGGGAGGUUCAGUCCUCUACUGUGGUCCCCAGUGUGCUGUAGCCUCCAUCUGACUGUGCUGUGUGAUUCAGCAGAGGGCACAGACCUUGGGAAACAUGUUUAAGACGGGCACAAACCUGCCCUGCUCUGACCACAACCUUGUAUUCCUUUGUUGUUGAAGGAUUCAAAUAAUCCAUUCCUAUGGUCACCUCCUGAAAUGUUUCCCUUUUACAGUUUGGAGGUGUGUCCAGGUGUAUCCAACCAUGACAGGAUCCUUAAACUGUUCAUGAAAUGCAGCCAUCGCCUCCUCCCAUCUUCCACUCAACAAAACGAGGCAGAUAAGUUAAAAGAAAACCAAAAGAAAGGAGAGGGGGUAGCUGAAGGUGUAGGUUCCUCCUUGGUUGUCAUAGUAACAAGGAUAGCUUGGGAGGAGGGGGCCAUGUCCGUAAGGCGCCAUCAGAUCAGAAGCCGAUGUAGUAAAAGAUGGUGGGAGGAUCACAGCAGACAGGUAGGGCAGCAAGAGGGAGAAAAAGAGGUGGGUUUGUCCGUCUCCACACUUGUGAUGUUUAGGAUGAUAUGUCAGCUAUUUUACAAGUUAUUCCCUCGUUUUUUGUCUUUUUUUUUGUUUGUUUUUUAGAGUGUCAAGUCUCUGUAGCACCCAAACCAACCCAGACAAAGCCCAAAGCCUGACCCUGUAUAGCCUGCCACAACUACCCCAGUAACAGAAAACAGGCCCAACAUCAACAAGAAUGACAGUCACAACAACAUCAAUUGAAAUGAUACUUUAAAAAGCAACACAAAAUAAUUACUCUCCUCUUAUUCAAGUGUCUUGAUAUAAUAAUAUUAAAACAAAUAAGAACAAUCGUUUUUACGACACAGAAAGAGCAGUCUCUCUUCUCUCUGUCCUCUUUUGGCUAGAAAUCUCAAGAUUCAUAAAACGAAAAUGAAAACAUUUCGAAGACAUCCAAAAAUACAAAUGAUAAACAAUACCAAUAUAAAAAAGCCUCCCCAACAACAUCUAAAAACAAAAACAGAACCAAAAGAAAAAAAAAAUGAUACAGAAAUUGCAAUAGCGUUCUAUACAUGGCAUCACUGUACAAGGAAAGGAGCAAAUGUCUGGUAUAACUACCCACAAUGCAAUACACUGUCACUGACAUGGGAAAGGAGGAUGAAGAACACAAGAUAGGGAAGUUUAGGGUUGGAGGAGAUGGGAAGGGUGGAAAUGGAAAGCAGGGAAACAGUGUGGAAGAGAGCAAGGAACUGCGAGGAGGGUUGGAAACAGACGGAGGAUAGCUUGAACCGAAAGUGCAGAAUUACUUAAGUAAUUUAACAAGAAUGUUGUCUUCCUUGCAACACAGAACUGUUUUCCUUUAAUAAUAAUAAUAAUAAUAUUCAUUAUAAUAAAACUUCUUUUACAGAAAACAGUAAUAACAAUAAGAGUAACAAUAUUGACCAUAAUGCCUACAUGGACAUUAGCCAUAAAAAUGAAUUUUAAAAUAAAACAAAAACAAAAGAAAGAAAAUGAAUGCCAGAGCAAAAGAAAAAAAAAAGAAAAAAGAGAGCUGGUUUGUCCUGUGCGAUGUCACUGAGCUCCAUCUUUGGAUAGAGCGGUUUUGUUGCUCGGUUGGAGCCUGACCCAAAACACCCGCCACCCGGCCCGAAAGGCGCCACCGCUGCUGAGAUUUCAGCCCGCUCCGGAAUGAUCUGCUGCAGGACAGCAGGAGGGGGGAGAGAGGGAGGAGCAGACUGAACUCCAUAGACACCAUUCCCCCUUGGCUCACUCCUUUCUUCUCAGUCACGCACACAGUCACGCAUACACACUCACACCUAAUGUGAAUACUUUGGGUUUGCGGCAGCAGUGUGUAUGUUUCUUUGCGUCGUUGGACUCCAUGUUCUUGCAAGUAUUACUGUAUCAAUGCAUUGGCCAGUCAGGCACGUAAUGAAGUAUGCCAACAGUUAGGGUGAGAAGGGGAGGUUUAGGUCAGGGCUGCAGGUGGGAGUGGGGGUGGGAGGGGUGGUCCGGGUUUGCAGAGGGAGGAGGUGAGGGGGGUCGAGUCGAAAGAGGGAGGAGUGGAACCCCAGUCUACCCGCGAUGGGAGGUGAAAAGACGAGACAACCUGCGACAAUGAGCGCCGGAUGUCUGUGCAGAAAAUGCUGGCACUUUGACCUUUGAAGCUCCGAGGUCCCACCUGUGACCCCCAUCCCCUCUAAAGUCUACACCCACCCACACUCCCCCUCUCUCGCGCAGACUGCCCUCCCAGGGACAGAUGGAGACAGACAGAUGGACAGAGAGUGCCCCUGCUUGGGCAGACGACGGUGGUUUGGCGUGAUGCUGCUCAACUCAAGUCAACACAACUCAGGAUGGCUGAUAUGGACCGAUGUACACAGGAUACACCCGUUCCUACAGCAGCACAGAGGGAAAGAACCAGCGGUUAAUAUUUCAGUGCAUCGUUUUGCCUCUACUAUCACGACUACAACUGGAAAAAUGACCUUUGAGUAAUUUUAGUCCAUUGAAUACUGAGCUGAUGAACUACUCAAUCAUUUUAUGUUUGCUGAUUGUGUUUAUUUAUACAUAAUUUAAAUUACAGGGGGUCCUUGGUUUACGAAGUCAUCGACCUACGGCGUUUCGUUGUUACGUCGGAACUGGUUAUGUGGAACUAGUUGGCGAGCGGAGUGGAUGAAUACGUCGUCACGUGGUGCUAUAAGAUGGCUUUGUUUACAUUCUCUGGUUGUACACCACCUUAGAUUGUGCUGCAUUCGCUAACUUUUUGCCCUUCAUUAUGGUUGAAAGUCUUAAGCCAGACUCUUCUGAUGGCAGUGCUUCAAAAAAGAAAGUCAUCUUCAUGUGUGCUGUUUUCAC
Molecule: long non-coding RNA, 3898 nt
Organism: Amphiprion ocellaris (clown anemonefish)
Lineage: Eukaryota; Metazoa; Chordata; Actinopteri; Pomacentridae
Source: Ensembl